GGCAGUGUAGCUUAGUGGUUAAAAAGCAAGCCUUGUAACCAAAAGGUUGCCGGUUCGAUUCCUGGCUGGGGCA
Non-coding RNA from Megalops atlanticus (tarpon), 73 nucleotides. The record is from the annotation of a GenBank genome assembly. Lineage: Eukaryota; Metazoa; Chordata; Actinopteri; Elopiformes; Megalopidae.